AGAGUUUGAUCCUGGCUCAGAACGAACGCUGGCGGCGUGCUUAACACAUGCAAGUCGAGUGCGCGUCUGUAGCAAUACAGAUGGCGCACGGCGCACGGGUGCGUAACACGUGGGCAAUCUGCCCUUCGAUGGGGAAUAUCUUCGGGAAACCGAAGCGAAUUCCGCAUAACAUUCCUUGGACUUCGGUUUGAGGACUCAAAGCCGUAAGGCGUCGAAGGAGGAGCCCGCGCACGAUUAGCUAGUUGGUAGGGUAACGGCCUACCAAGGCUUUGAUCGUUAGCUGGUCUGAGAGGAUGGCCAGCCACACUGGAACUGAGACACGGUCCAGACUCCUACGGGAGGCAGCAGUGGGGAAUCUUGCACAAUGGGCGAAAGCCUGAUGCAGCGACGCCGCGUGGGGGAUGAAGCAUCUCGGUGUGUAAACCCCUUUCGACCCGGAAGAAUGCCUCGCAAGAGGACUGACGGUACGGGUAUAAGAAGCCCCGGCUAACUACGUGCCAGCAGCCGCGGUAAGACGUAGGGGGCCAGCGUUGUUCGGAAUUACUGGGUGUAAAGGGUUCGUAGGCGGUGUGGCAAGUUGGGAGUGAAAUCUCUGGGCUCAACCCAGAGGCUGCUUCCAAAACUGCUGUGCUUGAGUGUGGGAGAGGCGCGUGGAAUUGCAGGUGUAGCGGUGAAAUGCGUAGAUAUCUGCAGGAACACCCGUGGCGAAAGCGGCGCGCUGGACCACUACUGACGCUGAGGAACGAAAGCUAGGGGAGCAAACAGGAUUAGAUACCCUGGUAGUCCUAGCCCUAAACGAUCAGGACUUGGGGUGCCGCCCGUUCGGGCGUCGUCCCGGAGCUAACGCGUUAAGUCCUGCACCUGGGGAGUACGGUCGCAAGACUGAAACUCAAAGGAAUUGACGGGGGCCCGCACAAGCGGUGGAACAUGUGGUUCAAUUCGACGCUACGCGAGGAACCUUACCUGGGCUCGAAAUGCUAGUGACCAGCUGUAGAAAUACGGCCUUCCCGCAAGGGACACUAGUAUAGGCGCUGCAUGGCUGUCGUCAGCUCGUGCCGUGAGGUGUUGGGUUAAGUCCCGCAACGAGCGCAACCCCUGCACGUAGUUGCCACUCCGCAAGGAGGGAACUCUACGUGGACUGCUCCGGAUAACGGAGAGGAAGGUGGGGAUGACGUCAAGUCCGCAUGGCCUUUAUGUCCAGGGCUACACACG
This 1212-nucleotide ribosomal RNA is filed under the name metagenome. Its description in RNAcentral is "bacterial SSU rRNA". It matches the Rfam family "Bacterial small subunit ribosomal RNA", at positions 8 to 1222 of the family's 1533-position model. The record is from RNAcentral.